RNAcentral lists this ribosomal RNA (222 nucleotides) under uncultured bacterium. RNAcentral describes it as "partial 16S ribosomal RNA". It matches the Rfam family "Bacterial small subunit ribosomal RNA", at positions 328 to 539 of the family's 1533-position model. The record is from RNAcentral.
ACGCUCGACACCUACGGGGGCAGCAGUAGGGAAUCUUCCACAAUGGGCGCAAGCCUGAUGGAGCAACACCGCGUGAGUGAAGAAGGGUUUCGGCUCGUAAAGCUCUGUUGUUGGAGAAGAACGUGCGUGAGAGUAACUGUUCACGCAGUGACGGUAUCCAACCAGAAAGUCACGGCUAACUACGUGUCAGCAGCCGCGGUAAUCUGAGCGGGCUGGCAAGGC